Molecule: ribosomal RNA, 638 nt
Filed under: uncultured bacterium
Lineage: Bacteria
Description: bacterial SSU rRNA
Rfam family: Bacterial small subunit ribosomal RNA
Source: RNAcentral
UGGCGACCGGCGCACGGGUGAGUAACACGUAUCCAACCUGCCUCAUACUCGGGGAUAGCCUUUCGAAAGAAAGAUUAAUAUCCGAUAGCAUAUAUUUCCCGCAUGGGUUUUAUAUUAAAGAAAUUCGGUAUGAGAUGGGGAUGCGUUCCAUUAGUUUGUUGGCGGGGUAACGGCCCACCAAGACUACGAUGGAUAGGGGUUCUGAGAGGAAGGUCCCCCACAUUGGAACUGAGACACGGUCCAAACUCCUACGGGAGGCAGCAGUGAGGAAUAUUGGUCAAUGGACGCGAGUCUGAACCAGCCAAGUAGCGUGAAGGAUGACUGCCCUAUGGGUUGUAAACUUCUUUUAUAUGGGAAUAAAGUGGUCCACGUGUGGAUUUUUGUAUGUACCAUAUGAACAAGGAUCGGCUAACUCCGUGCCAGCAGCCGCGGUAAUACGGAGGAUCCGAGCGUUAUCCGGAUUUAUUGGGUUUAAAGGGAGCGUAGGCGGAUUGUUAAGUCAGUUGUGAAAGUUUGCGGCUCAACCGUAAAAUUGCAGUUGAUACUGGCAGUCUUGAGUGCAGUAGAGGUGGGCGGAAUUCGUGGUGUAGCGGUGAAAUGCUUAGAUAUCACGAAGAACUCCGAUUGCGAAGGCAGCU